This 301-nucleotide ribosomal RNA is filed under the name uncultured bacterium. Its description in RNAcentral is "partial 16S ribosomal RNA". It matches the Rfam family "Bacterial small subunit ribosomal RNA", at positions 509 to 807 of the family's 1533-position model. The record is from RNAcentral.
CAGUCGCCGCGGGAAUACGAGGGGGGCAAGCGUUGUUCGGAAUUAUUGGGCGUAAAGGGUGCGUAGGCGGUUUGGCAAGUUUGGUGUGAAAUCUUCGGGCUCAACUCGAAGUCUGCAUCGAAAACUGCCUGGCUUGAACGUCGGAGAGGUGAGUGGAAUUCCGAGUGUAGAGGUGAAAUUCGUAGAUAUUCGCAGGAACACCAGUGGCGAAGGCGGCUAACUGGUCCAUAACUGACGCUGAGGUGCGAAAGCGUGGGGAGCAAACAGGAUUAGAUACCCCCGUAGUCCCUGUCUCUUAUAC